RNAcentral lists this long non-coding RNA (7715 nucleotides) under Panax ginseng (ginseng). RNAcentral's name for it is "long non-coding RNA (PGIN_LNC002142)". The stretch from base 569 to 763 matches the Rfam family "U2 spliceosomal RNA". Lineage: Eukaryota; Viridiplantae; Streptophyta; Magnoliopsida; Apiales; Araliaceae. The record is from RNAcentral.
UUGGCUAAGAUCAAGUGUAGUAUCUGUUUUUAUUAAUUUAAUAUCUGAUAUGUGAAACAUUGUUCUACACAAUAUUAAAUUUAUUUUUUGAGGGAAAGAGUCCAUCAAAAUAGCAAGCUAUUGGGGCUCUUGAGUGUCGUCUUGGAUUUGCACUACAUCCUUGGCCUGGCGCACCCCACCAAAUCUAUAGUAAGUAUUUUUGGAUCCUAGGUUUUCUUUGAAAGAACCAUUGUAUUUGUUUGGAGGCAGGUGUAUAUAGCUAGCAGAUAUGCUCAUUCCAGUGUCUUUUCUGGAUAUAUCUAGUCCAGAUGGCAGUACAUAGAGGACUACUAAAAUUUCCUGGAGUAAUUAACAAAACUCAUUGCUUUAUGUAAUGCAUCACAUAGUAAUGAUAUGCUUUCCAAGGAGCAGAAAUUGAAGUAGUAUCAAACUAGUAUAAAACAUUGGGAAAGCUACAACCUGUGCAAUGAGCUUGUUUCUCCUAUGCGUUGAAGUCCCACCUGGAGCAAUUGAGUUUGAUAGGCACAGGCAGUGAGCUUUAAACCACAAGCACUUGAUAAAAAUAAGCAUACCUUUCUCUGCCUUUUGGCUAAGAUCAAGUGUAGUAUCCGUUCAUAUCAGUUUAAUAUCUGAUAUGUGGAACAUUGUUCCACACGAUAUUAAAUAUAUUUUUUGAGGGAAGAGUCCAACACAAUAGCUUGCUAUUGGGGCUCUUGAGUGUCGCCUUGGAUUUGCACUACAUCCUUGGCCUGGCGCACCCCACCAAAUCUUAAGUUAUUUUGGAUCAAGACUUGUGCUUCGAAUGAACCACUUUAUAUGUAGUCCAUUUGGAGGCAGGUGUAUAUAGCUAACAGAAAUGCUCAUUCCAGUGUCUUUUUUGGAUAUAUAUAUAUUUAGUACAUUUGGCUGGGUUUGUAACUACCAGAAUUACUCCCAAUUCCAGUGUGUUUUAAGUUGAUGUGUGUUGCAGUACUAGGACUACUAAUAUUGCCUCAAGUAUUUACCAUUAGCAAUACUUUUUUACUUUUUUGAUGUGUGUUGCAGUACUAGGACUACUAAUAUUGCCCAAGUAUUUACCAUUAGCAAUACUUUUACUUUAUACCAAGGGAUAUAUAAUAUCCGGAAAUGAUCUUUUUUGAGGCCUAUCCGAUAGAGAGUAUUUUAAAUAGUUAUAUUUUAAAUAGUUUACUUUGUUCUUAUAAGUUUAAUAUCUGAUACGUGGAAUACCUUUACACACGAUAUUAAAUUUAUUUUUUGAGGGGGAGAGUCCAUCACAGUAGCUUGCUAUUGGGGCUCUUGAGUGUCGCCUUGGAUUUGCACUACAUCCUUGGUCUGGCACACCCCCACCAAAUCUAUAGCUAAAUGGUUUAAUUUAUACAUAUAAGGACCCUAGUACAUCCAAACAUGUCUCUGUAAUGAGUCAAGUCUGAAUAUGCAAUACAAAAAUUAGUCAUCGGCCUUGUUAAGGAAAUACUGUUAUUGGACUGAUCAAAACCUUUUUUGCACGAAAAAGUCUGGGCAGACAGUUUUAUUGGACAGGAAAAUGGGAUAAAUACUAUACAUUUUUUGAGAGNNNNNNNNNNNNNNNNNNNNNNNNNNNNNNNNNNNNNNNNNNNNNNNNNNNNNNNNNNNNNNNNNNNNNNNNNNNNNNNNNNNNNNNNNNNNNNNNNNNNAAAAAAAAAAAAAAAUAGAAAAUGUCUCAUUUUUCUGUCCAAUACGCAUGUCUGCGUAGGACUCUUUUUGCACUUACGUCCCACAUCGAUUAGUAGUCGAAACAGAUGUCAGAAACUGCAGUUUCCAAACCCCCUGACUUGGUGAAUGCCUUGGCCAUCAAGAACUUUUGGAAGGGUCUACCUCUAAAAAUGGGUAAAGGUCCAACAAUACCUAGUUCCAAUAAUAUAGUCUGCUUUAAAGUGAAAACAAUCAAGAAACAUGUAAAUAAAUAACUUAGGCCUGCAGAAUAUAGCGAGUAUGGCUCAGAAUUCUUGAUUGUAUCAUAAAAGUAUACUAUUUUAUAUUCCCAGAUUAUAACUACUAAUCAUAAGAUUGUUUUUAUGAGAUUAUAAUGAGAUAACUUAAAAUAAUCUUAUGUUGUGUUUGUUUUUUUCAGAAUUCAUUAAAAGAUUGGAUAAAAAAAAUAUCGUUUGGACUAUUAUACCCUUACCAAUAAUAACAUAUUUUAAACUAUUAUUUAAAUUUGUUUAUACAUAAAAAAAUGAUGAACAAUUAAUUAUAAACUUUUAAAUAAGUGGUUAUAUUAUUCAAUCAAAUGCCCAAUGGUACUAAUUACAUAAUUUAACUUUAAAUAAACAAGUUCAAAUCACAUGACAUGUACAUAAUUUAACUUGCAAGAAUGUUUUUUUGAUAGCCAUGUGAUUUAAGUCUUAGAAAUUUAGAAGAAAGAGAGAGGCCUCUGAGGGAGAGGGAGAGGGAAUAAGGGAAAAGAGGGUGGGUGGGAGAGGAGUUGUGAAGUCAUUUUUGUAUUUGGACAGUAGACUCCCACAUCAAAGAGAGUGGUAAACCUGAUAUAGCAACACAAGGAGAUGAAUCAACCUGUAAGGCCAGAAGUAAUCAAGCAGCCAUGUGGUGAUGACAAAGCCAACUAUUAUUUUGCCUUUUACUAAAGAAUACAGACCUGAGGUUUAAAGAUAUAUACCAAGUGCAGGGCUGAUAUGGCCAGCUUUACAAGAUGUAAUACAACUCACAGAGACAAUAUCCAACACAAGAACUGUCCACCAUCUUGAACAAACAUAAUUGUCCCAAUACCAACGCACUAUCCGGUCCAAUUCUUCUCCAUAUAAUGGCUCAACCAUCCUCUUAACCAGCAGGCUCCAAACUCAGUCAUAUAUUAGUAGUGUAGUAGGGAGUUUAGCAAUUACCAUGGACCAAAAAGAGCUAGCCGAGAUGGCUUGGGGGCUAGGCAGCAGCAGUGUGACCAGCCAUUCUUGUGGGUUGUUAGACCUGGCUCAGUCCAUGACUCAAAAGGGUAUGAUUUGUUAAGGUAGUUCUACUAUAAUAUAUUGAAGAGUGGAACCCAACUUAAUAUUCAAUCAGAAGCAAAAUAAGAACGGGCAUCGUGCAUUGUUAAUGAUCUUCAGAAUUGGAUAUAGGCAAAACUACAGAGCCCGUUCAUUCAAGGGGUCACAAAGGUGACCUUAAAACUAAUUAAAAAUUAAAAAUAGUCGACGGCUUAAAUAAUAGACUAAUCAUGAAAUAAAAUAGACUAAACAAAUAUUAAUAAAUUAGUAUAAAUAAUAAUCAUACCCUACUCAUCAUUUUUGCAAACGAACAUAUUGGUAAAAGAGGGGUAUUGGGCUGGCCAAAAAAGGAAGUAGAGAAUUUCAAAAAUGGAUGCAGUGGCAAUAUAGCAUCAUUCACUUGAGCACUAAGACUAAUAUUUAUUGGUGUCGGCCAACCAAUUCCUCAACAGGUGUGGACAAUUGGCUGUUCUCCACACCGGAGGAAGUGCUGUAUCAUAAUCUAGGCAAAGUCAUUUUCCAAUGCCUGCCCAUUUAGAACCAUUGCUUCCCUUUUCACUUAGGUUGAUUCUAUGAUUGGAUCCUCCGGAAACCUUUCCACUAGUUACAUCUACAUAUCUUUUUGUUAUUUCUUUUUCCUUUCAGUUGCCAUUUGGAGACUUCCACACUUAGCUGAAACAACAUCACUAGGAGAAGGGUGAGACAUGUUGCUGUUAUGUCCCAAGUCAAAACACUCCUCCUUGCUGCUCAUGCUCCCAUGUUCCUCUUGUGCUUUCGAUUUUCCGAUAGAUUUUGGCCUGAAUUCUGUAGAUUCAUCUAGACAACCAAACGAAAAAAGAGUUUAAACUCGGAGCAAAAUAAUUCUAAAAUCCAGUAAACUUAAAGUAGAACACAAAAGAGAAUCAAGUUAUAACAUUCAAAAAAAGUAAUUUCAUAUUAAUGCCACACCUAUACACAAUCACAGAGAGAAAGAAGAAUUGGUCCAUGAUGAACUAGCAAGGCUGCAUCUGGAGACCCCAGACAACCUAUCUGAUGCCAAUUCCUCCCCAGGAAAUCUGUUACAUCUAAUAAAGACUAUUAACAAUACUUAUGUUAACUUCUGAUUUAAUGGAGUCUUUCUUUGAACAUUCAUUAUACCAAGUCUCUUUUUUGAUCAACAUUAUACUGAGACUCUAAAUGAUUGUUUUGCAGUUAUAUGCAUUAAACCCUAACACUAACAAGAUUUAUGAUAGAUUCUUAAUCGAAGAGAAAACAACUUUUGUUUUAUGAUAUAUCACCUGCAACACCAAUUGUAGUAUAAUGAUAAAGGUGCUUGAAAUUAAACUUGAAAGAGGUGCUAAUCUGUAUAUAUUAUAUUACACAGAUUCUUGUCGGUAAUUAGGUCGGGCGCAAACUCAGAAUGGAUUGAGUUGUUGCCAGAAGAAUUUAAAGAAACAGUUGAAGAAAGUGUUGGUGACCUGUUAAUCAAAUAAACUGCACAAGAAACAACUUCUGUCCAAAAAUGGCAUGGCAACUUUUUCAUUUUAAGCAUGCACCGAACCAUGUUCAUAACUGUACGAUUUUUCCUUUCGCAAACACCAUUUUGUUGAAUGGGGUCCCCAAAGGGAGGUUCUAGGCCAUGAUACAGUGGGAGGGUUUUGGAGCCAUUGUGGUUGGAAUUCGACUUUGGAAAGUAUUAGUAAAGUGGUUCCAAUGAUAUGCAUGCCAUAUUUGAGUGAGGUUUGGAAGGUAAGCCUGCCAUUGGAACAUGAGUUGGAGAGAGGGGCGAUCGCAAGAACUAUAUGGAUACUCAUGGUGGACAAGCUAGGAAGGAGGGGAAAUAAGACGGAACACAACUGAUUGGAAGGAAAAGAUCAGGGGUUCUUCAUAUAACUCGCUGACUGAUUUAACAGACCUUAUUUUGUCAUUCCAAUUGCCUAAUUGACUUAAUCAUCAUCAACACUCAAGAUUUCUGAUAAAGAUAUGAAGUUGUUGGCCCCUAUUAUAUUGCAUUUUUCAUAUGGUGUAGGCAUAUGCAAAACAAAGAAAAAUUGCAAUAUUUUAGAUUUUCUUUGGUAAAUUUAAUUUUCAACAAACAUAAUGUAAGCAGACCAAAAUGUCAGUUCACACUUCAUAUAUAUCUAUGCGAUCUGAUGGAUAGAAAUUCAUGCUUGAACUUUAUAUUUUUUGUAUUGAAAGGUUGCUAUUUUUUCACCAUUAGAGUAAGCUGUGUACCGCAUUAAAUUAUUUGUUUACAUUUAUUCUAGAGAUGGGCAAUACAAUUUUUUUGAUGGUGUUUUGAUUAAUUGCUCUUUUAAAAUAACAUCAAACUCAUACAUUAUCAACACCAUAACAUGUGUAGGCUCGAGUCCGGUGCUUGUGAUCGAACUUCAAUGUAAUCUAAUCUGUGAAUUUUCCAUAGAUUGUCAGGAUCUGUUGUGAUACAUGUAUAGAUAAGAGAAUAUAUUUACUUUCAUUUAAAUGUUUUAGGAAAAAUUGUUCAUAUAAAUUCUGCAUUUACCGUUUCUUGUUAAUGCUUUCCAAGGAGCAGAAAUUGAAGUAGUAUCAAACUAGUAUAAAACAUUGGGAAAGCUACAACCUGUGCAAUGAGCUUGUUUCUCCUAUGCGUUGAAGUCCCACCUGGAGCAAUUGAGUUUGAUAGGCACAGGCAGUGAGCUUUAAAACCACAAGCACUUGAUAUAUAUAAGCAUCCCUUCUCGGCCUUUUGGCUAUGAUUAAGUGUAGUAUUUGUUUAUAUCAGUUUAAUAUCUGAUAUGUAGAACAAUGUUCCACAUGAUAUUAAAUUUAUUUUUUGAGGGGAAGAGUCCAUUUCAAUAGCUUGCUAUUGGGUCUCUUGAGUGUCGCCUUGGAUUUGCACUACAUCCUUGGCCUGGAUUACUCCACCAAAUCUAUAUCCCAAGUGUUUUUAGAUCCAAGGUUUUCUUUGAAGGAGCCAUUGUAUUUGUAGUCCAUUUGGAGGCUGGUGUAUAUAGCUAGCAGAGGUAUGUUCAUUCUCGUGUAUUCCAGAAUUAAUCCCAAUUCCAGUUUGUUUUAAGUUGAGGUGUGUUGCAGUACAUAAGAACUACUAAAAUUUCCUGGAGUAAUUAACAAAACUCAUUGCUUUAUGUAAUGCAUCACAUAAUAAUGAUAUUUACCAUUAGCAAUACUUCAUAUAGCACGGACUACUUGUACCUUUUUCACUUUGUACCAAGGGAUAUAAUAUCCGGAGAUAAUAUCCAGGACGACCCUUCAAUACUUCCAAACAUGUGUCUAAAUGGGUCAAGUUUGAAUAUGCAAUACAAAAAUUAGUCAUCAGAACUUGAGUAGCCUCGCUAAGGAAUAUUGAUAUUGGACUGAUGUAUGUUCCACAUCGAUUAUUAGUCGAAGCAGAUGUCAGAAGCUGCAGUUUAAAACAGGCAAUCGGCAGAGUAAGAUAGUAUCUUUGCGCUUGGGGCAAUGACGCAGCUAGUGAGGUACUAACUGAGGCGCGUCAAUUGCUGGUUGAAAACUAUUUCCAAACCCCCUCUUUGGCCUUGGUGAACGCCUUGGCCAUCGAGAAUUUUUGGAAGGGCCUCCCUUUAAAAAUGGGUAAAGGUCCUACAAUACCUAGUUCCUAAAUUUAGCUGCUCUCUAUUUUGAUCGUCUGACGUGUUCCAUCUGUCAUUCACCCAAGUUACCACAUUAUUAUAUUUUAGAUAUCUCUUAAUUGUUAAUACAUAAAACUAAUUAGAAUCAGAAUGAAGUAUUUGCCGAACUCCGGAUAAAUAAACUAUUGUAUAAUAAGCUUAAGCCAAUGUUGGAUUGUUUUUGCAUUUGGUGCCAUUUAUAAAAACCUUUUAGUUUUUUCAUCCAAUUUGAUCUUGUUGUCAUUCUCCAGUAAACUCCCACAUCAAAGAGAGUGACAAACCUAAUAUCGCAACACAAGGAUAUGAAUCAACUUGUAAGACCUAAAGCUUUCACGAAGCCAUGUGGUGAGCACAAAGUGAACUAUUCUUUCGCCUUUUACUAAAGAAUACCGUGUGCUUGUCACUCACAGUGGCAUACGCCUAUUUUUGGAGGGGAUUUCCUUUAGGAAACUCUCCCUACAAUCAAAGUUGAUUAAUAAUUUUAGUUUCUUAAUGGUCAGGAUUAUAUUGUGCAUUCAUAUGGUAAAAUCUUGGAUUCAUGAAUAAAACUAUAAUUAGUGGUAAAAUAACAUUAUCAGAAUUGUUAAAAAAAGACUAGGUUAGUGGAGAAAAUAUAAGAGAUUAGUAGUAUUAGUCAACUAGGUUAUGUCACAGCUCAAACAAGCUAUGUACGUACUACAAUGGUUGGGCAGUGUUACUUUGUUGUGAAAAGACCAUUUGUUUUGUCAUUGCAAUUAAUACAUAAAAAACCAAAAAGACGAAACCAAGAUUUGAAGUUAACUAAUUUAAUUUGCUGCUACUCCUAUAAGUUCGAUUGGAAGUUCAGUUAAAUAGUUGCAAAGUAAGUAGGAGGAGUCCUUUCCUUGACAUACGCACAAGGGCGAAACCAAGUCCCAUAUGGAAAGAAGUAGAAACAAAGCUUUAGUACUUAUCCAACUUUGAGAGCUAUAACAGACUUAUCCAACUUUGAGAGCUGUAACAGACACGAUCUGUUCUAUAGGCUCGUACCUCUAUAUCCUUGAUUUCUAUAUCCUUUAUUUCAAGUCAAGUCUCUCUUGGCUGGUGGUGGUCCUGCAGUUGUCUGACAGACUCUCUAAUCAUCUUUUUAGGGAGUUUAGCAACUAGGCAUGAG